GCAGUGGGGAAUAUUGCACAAUGGGCGCAAGCCUGAUGCAGCCAUGCCGCGUGUAUGAAGAAGGCCUUCGGGUUGUAAAGUACUUUCAGCGGGGAUGAAGGGAGUAAAGUUAAUGCCUUUGCUCAUUGACGUUACCCGCAGAAGAAGCACCGGCUAACUCCGUGCCAGCAGCCGCGGUAA
This 180-nucleotide ribosomal RNA is filed under the name uncultured bacterium. RNAcentral describes it as "partial 16S ribosomal RNA". It matches the Rfam family "Bacterial small subunit ribosomal RNA", at positions 351 to 523 of the family's 1533-position model. The record is from RNAcentral.